UACGAAGGGAGCUAGCGUUGUUCGGAAUCACUGGGCGUAAAGCGCACGUAGGCGGAUGUGUCAGUCAGGGGUGAAAUCCCGGAGCUCAACUUCGGAACUGCCCUUGAUACAGCACGUCUUGAGUCCGAUAGAGGUGGGUGGAAUUCCUAGUGUAGAGGUGAAAUUCGUAGAUAUUAGGAAGAACACCGGUGGCGAAGGAGGCCCACUGGAUCGGUACUGACGCUGAGGUGCGAAAGCGUGGGGAGCAAACAGG
This 253-nucleotide ribosomal RNA is filed under the name uncultured bacterium. RNAcentral describes it as "partial 16S ribosomal RNA". It matches the Rfam family "Bacterial small subunit ribosomal RNA", at positions 524 to 776 of the family's 1533-position model. The record is from RNAcentral.